RNAcentral lists this unclassified non-coding RNA (224 nucleotides) under rhizosphere metagenome. Its description in RNAcentral is "partial ribosomal RNA internal transcribed spacer region". The record is from RNAcentral.
GUAGGUGAACCUGCGGAGGGAUCAUUACCGAGUUCGUGCCCUUCGGGGUAGACCUCCCACCCUGUGUUAUCACUACCUUUGUUGCUUUGGCGGGCCGUCAGGCCUCGGCCUGACUACCGGCUUCCGCUGGUACGCGCCCGCCAGAGGACCCAAACCCUAAAUAUUAGUGUCGUCUGAGUACUAUAUAAUAGUUAAAACUUUCAACAACGGAUCUCUUGGUUCUG